RNAcentral lists this long non-coding RNA (239 nucleotides) under Dermacentor andersoni. RNAcentral's name for it is "uncharacterized LOC126522162". The record is from RNAcentral. Lineage: Eukaryota; Metazoa; Arthropoda; Arachnida; Ixodida; Ixodidae.
UUAUUUCUUUCAGAUUCCACUCAGAGAGAAGGCAUAAUUUACUAUACUGACUAUGUCAACUGUGAUGUAGUGGACUUGGACUUCCAUGGUCAUCAGUGCACACUAUGGGCAAGAAAACAAGUGAAAGACAACGUGCCACAAAACUGCAUUGACUACUUCGUCGACACCUGUGGCGUCGUCGUCCCUCAACAUAGCAGAGACCUCUGCUUUGAUGGAGAAGGAGACUACAAAUAAAUCCU